UUUCAUUGUCAUAAUCCANUCCCCACACGGGUUGGUNUCAACAAUAAAUAACAAUACAGGGCUCUUUAGGGUCUUGUAAUUGGAAUGAGUACAAUUUAAAUCCCUUAACGAGGAACAAUUGGAGGGCAAGUCUGGUGCCAGCAGCCGCGGUAAUUCCAGCUCCAAUAGCGUAUAUUAAAGUUGUUGCAGUUAAAAAGCUCGUAGUUGAAUUUCGGGGUUCUACCGUUGGUCGGGCUUUGUCUGUACUGGCGUGUAGAAUUUCUACCUUCUGGGGAACCAUUAUGUUAUUAAUUUAGCGUGGUGGGAAACCAGGACCUUUACCUUGAAAAAAUUAGAGUGUUCAAAGCAGGCUUAUGUCUGAAUACAUUAGCAUGGAAUAAUAGAAUAGGACGGUGGUCCUGUUUUGUUGGUUUCUGAAUCACCGUAAUGAUUAAUAGGGAUAGUUGGGGGCAUUAGUAUUCAAUUGUCAGAGGUGAAAUUCUUGGAUUUAUUGAAGACUAACUUCUGCGAAAGCAUUUGCCAAGGAUGUUUUCAUUAAUCAAGAACGAAAGUUAGGGGAUCGAAGACGAUCANAUACCGUCGUANUCUUAACCAUAAACUAUGCCGACUAGGGAUCGGACGAUGUUAACUUUUCUUGACUCGUUCGGCGCCUUACGGGAAACCNAAGUGNUUGGNUUC
This 678-nucleotide ribosomal RNA is filed under the name Cetraspora pellucida. RNAcentral's name for it is "SSU rRNA". It matches the Rfam family "Eukaryotic small subunit ribosomal RNA", at positions 32 to 1114 of the family's 1831-position model. The record is from RNAcentral. Lineage: Eukaryota; Fungi; Glomeromycota; Glomeromycetes; Diversisporales; Gigasporaceae.